Molecule: ribosomal RNA, 433 nt
Filed under: uncultured bacterium
Lineage: Bacteria
Description: partial 16S ribosomal RNA
Rfam family: Bacterial small subunit ribosomal RNA
Source: RNAcentral
AACGAACGCUGGCGGCAUGCCUAACACAUGCAAGUCGAACGAGACCUUCGGGUCUAGUGGCGCACGGGUGCGUAACGCGUGGGAACCUGCCCUUAGGUUCGGAAUAACUCCCCGAAAGGGGUGCUAAUACCGGAUAAUGUCUUCUGACCAAAGAUUUAUCGCCUUUGGAUGGGCCCGCGUUGGAUUAGCUAGUUGGUAGGGUAAAAGCCUACCAAGGCGACGAUCCAUAGCUGGUCUGAGAGGAUGAUCAGCCACACUGGGAGUGGGACACGGCCCAGAAUCCUACGGGAGGCAGGAGUGGGGAAUAGUGGAACAUGGGCGGAAGGCUGAACCAGCAAGGCCGGGUGAGUGAUGAAGGCCUUAGGGUUGUAAAGCUCUUUUAACCGGGAUGAUAAUGACAGUACCGGGAGAAUAAGCUCCGGCUAACUCCGUG